Molecule: non-coding RNA, 550 nt
Organism: Macaca mulatta (Rhesus monkey)
Lineage: Eukaryota; Metazoa; Chordata; Mammalia; Primates; Cercopithecidae
Source: RefSeq, a predicted model, not a curated record
UAGGAGAAAAACUGUGGAUCCCGCAUCGUGCAGUCUUGGAUCCAACCUCUUCAUACCUUGGUUUCCUCAACUAUAAAUCGGGCUCCUUGUAACCUGCUGCAUAGAGCUUUUCUGAGGAUUGAGCCGCUUAAUGCAGGAACAGAUGCUGUUUGUGCCCCACCCUGGUUCCUGCUGCAGUCACCUCUGCAAGCAAAGAGGCAGAUUACUGAGAACACCUUCAACUCUCUGCCUGAGGACUUUUUUUUAAUGGCUGUGGGAAUAUUCUAGAACAUAAAAGGGCAAGCACAAAGGACCCUGGACAAAGGAUCAACAACUGGGAAGCAGCCCUGAAGCAGUGGAUAGACACCCCCACUCCCUCUCCCUCAGGGUGAUAAUCCGUGGUGUGUUACCCUGUGGCUCCACGGGUUCCCAGCAAGUUUGAGCUCCAGUCGCCCAUGAUGUGACCAGCCUUGUGAUGCCCCUGUGCUCACUCCCUUCCCUCCUGUCUCAUUCCACUCCCCGGUCAAUGUUCCUGGGGUCACCAUCCAAAUAAACCACUUACAGAAUCCUA